GAGACAAGCAUAUGACUACUGGCAGGAUCAACCAGGUAGCGUUCCGCCCGCGACGCCUGCGCCCGCACGGGGGACCCCGAGACGGGCGCGCCCGUCGUUCGUAUCGAUGCGUGGCUGCGGGCGGGCGGAGGCCGAGAGACCCCCGCGCCCGCGCGUCACGUUCCGCAUCCGAGAGCACGGGCGAGACGCCCCGCGUGCCCGGGCGGACACGCCCGCGAGGGGCCGCGACUUGCCGGGAACGCGAGGCGCGCCUAGCGUCCGCCCCGCACGCCUCGAGGGCGCGGGGCGGAGAGGGACAACGGGACCGUCGAAUUCCCUUCGUUGGGUAAGCAACACAGGAUACCGAA
This 347-nucleotide unclassified non-coding RNA is filed under the name Beiselia mexicana. RNAcentral's name for it is "partial external transcribed spacer". Lineage: Eukaryota; Viridiplantae; Streptophyta; Magnoliopsida; Sapindales; Burseraceae. The record is from RNAcentral.